UUAACUACUGAGCCAUCUCUUCAGCCCCAAAGGCAUUGUGUUGAGGAUGUAUUCAUCGUGGCUGGGUUCCCUAUGAUCCCUUGAUCUCUACAUUGUGUCCAGAAAAAUGAAGUCAUGAAAUUUUCAGCUCCAAAUCUUCAGAUGUGAGUGUAUGACAUGGAAUAACCAAAGAAACUGAGAAACUAUCAAGAAACCAUGGGGUGCCUCUCAGAGGUUGAAGAUAAGUUCAUAUUGGCGAAGAAACCACACACUUAGAGACAAGACUUGGAUUAUUUGAGUUGGAUCUGACCCGAAAGCCUCCUUCCUGUGGUCUAGCUUCCAUAGUACCAGAAAGUACUAUGCAAGCUGUCGAGGGAGGGAAGCAGUCACGACUCCUAUUCAGCUGUGGUGCCUACGAACCACAGAACUACUAACAAUGGCCACAGACGGUAAACAGCCUAAGAGUCUCAGACCUACUGCUGAUCCAAACUAGGUAACACUCCUACAGAGACGACACCUGUCUCCUAGCAGACCGUCCACCAUUAUUAGAACCGUCACCCUGCAGCUAGCUUGGACAUCAUUAAAAGGGCUCAUCAGGAGUAGCUGAUAUUCAUGAAGACAGAGUUUCAGGGUUUCCGCCUGGAGCUACACCCUCCAGAAGCCCCUGCUUGGCUUCCCUGCACCCAACGCCAUCCCAACCACUUACAACUUGGGCUGUGCUUGGUGUUUCUUGGCAACUGGAACACAGACUCCUCCAGCUGCUCUCCAGGCCCUUUGUCCUCAAUGAGCAGAAGACAACAGAAGCCGGCUACUGAAGAGGCGGUGCAGGUGGCAGAGCACCUUACUGGCCUUGCUUAGCACCUUGACCACAGAGCAGUCACUGAGUGCUGAAUCUGGAAUCUGUGCUCACCACCAACAGGGACUACAGAGAGAGUUGUCAGGCCCCAGGUCGCUAAGGGCCACCCUCUGGGGAUCCCUCCAGAGAAGGGUCCACUAGUAAAGGGGGCUCUUCAUAGACUCUUCACUGCCUUGAGUCCUACCUACCCAGACACCUCCAGGACUGCAGAGAUCCUCAUCUUUUCACCUAUCUAAUCCACAUCCCAGCUGGCAACCGCUGUGAACGAUUUGUAUUUUCAUUUUUAUCCUCUUGGCGAGAAGAGUUUUAAAUGUUGCUUCCCUCCCUUCUGUAGUUAUAGUAAGUACUACUGAGAAUGUAUUUUUGUCGCUUUUGGAUAUAGUCUUAGAUAUAGUUUCUUAGGAAUUGCUCCAUUUUGUCUGUUUCCAAAUUCACUGGCCUAAAGUUCCAUUUUUAAAUUCUCUGCUAUAUAUAAUCUGUAGCUAUGUCUCCUUUCUCGUUGCUAAUACUGGUCAUUUGUGCCUUCUCCCUUUUUUUCCUGAUCAAUCUCACCAGAGGCUUGUCUAUUUUACUAGUCUUCACAAAGAACCAGCUUUUGGCUUUGUUACUCCUCUCUAUUGUGUCUCUGUUCUCCAUUUCUUUAAUUUCUGCUCUCAUUUUUUUUGACCUCCUGCCUUCCACAUUUUUUGGAUUUAUUCUGCUAUUGUUUUUCUGAUUUCUUAAACUGUAUGUUGAGCUCAUUCAUUUUCAGUCUUUUCUUUUUCUGUUUGCUUGGUUUGGGUGUUGGUUUUUCU
Onychomys torridus (southern grasshopper mouse) is the source of this 1629-nucleotide long non-coding RNA. RefSeq lists it as uncharacterized. NCBI's taxonomy places the organism in Eukaryota, Metazoa, Chordata, Mammalia, Rodentia, Cricetidae. The record is from RefSeq and is a predicted model, not a curated record. The transcript has 6 exons.